GGACCGGUUGUCUAGUGGUCAGGAUGACGCACUCACACUGCGUAAGGGCAUCUGCCCCGCGACGGUCAUGGGUUCGACCCCCAUCCGGUCCA
RNAcentral lists this transfer RNA (92 nucleotides) under Cenarchaeum symbiosum A. It matches the Rfam family "tRNA". Rfam says of the family: Transfer RNA (tRNA) molecules are approximately 80 nucleotides in length. The record is from Rfam by way of RNAcentral. Lineage: Archaea; Thermoproteati; Nitrososphaerota; Candidatus Cenarchaeales; Candidatus Cenarchaeaceae.